RNAcentral lists this ribosomal RNA (876 nucleotides) under Frutidella caesioatra. RNAcentral describes it as "SSU rRNA". It matches the Rfam family "Bacterial small subunit ribosomal RNA", at positions 370 to 1210 of the family's 1533-position model. The record is from RNAcentral. Lineage: Eukaryota; Fungi; Ascomycota; Lecanoromycetes; Lecanorales; Ramalinaceae.
AAUAGCCUAACGGCUGAACCAGCAACUUGGAGGAAUGUAUAGCAAAACUCUAAUUGCACCAAGAUAUAGUUGGUGCAAUAUCGACUCUGUUGAAUAAAAUUCUAGGUAGAAUUAUGAUAAUGACAUUGUCUGCCUAUGUGUCUUGACCAAAUUACGUGCCAGCAGUCGCGGUAAUACGUAGAAGACUAGUGUUAUUCAUCUUUAAUAGGUUUAAAGGGUACCUAGACGGUAAAUCAAGCCUGCGAGGGGACUAAUGUACUAGAGUUACUUGUGAGGGGGUAUUAAAGUACUGCUGGUGUAGAGAUGAAAUUCUUUCAUACCUUUUUUCAUCGGGAAAAUAACGGCACAGGUAUAGGCGAAAGCAUCCUCUUAUGUGAUAACUGACGUUGAAGGACGAAGGCUUUGUGUAGCGAACAGGAUUAGAUACCCCAGUAGUCAAAGCAGAAAAUGAUGAGUGUCAUAGAUUAGACAUAUAAUGGUUUAUUCUAUAAAUGAAAGUGUAAGCACUCCACCUCAAGAGUAAUUUGGCAACAUUGGAACUGAAAUCAUUAGACCGUUUCUGAAACCAGUAGUGAAGUAUGUUGUUUAAUUUGAUGAUCCGCAAAAAACCUUACCACAAUUUGAAUAUUUAUAAUAUUUCUUCUUUUUGUUUUCAUCUUUUUUCUUGAUUUUUGAGAAAAAAAGAUGAAAAUAAAACUAAGAGAGGAAACAUGUAUUUACAAGCGUUGCACGGCUGUCUUCAGUUAAUGUCGUGAGACUUUGGUUAGUUCCAUUAAAUUAACGUAAACCCUCACUUUAUUUUUACAUAAAGUAGUUCCCCACUAGAUUGGAUAUGAUAACAGGGACUAAGACAAGUCAUUUUGGCCUUAAUAUUGU